CUUAUCCUUACACCCUUGUUAUGAAAUCGAUUUCCCAAUCGAUUUACUCAGUGAAUAAUCAACUUUUGUUGAUUUCUUGUGUUCCAAGCAAUUUGUUCCAAGUGUGUAGGAUUGGAUUGUUGUUCCUGAAAUCUUGCUCAAUUCAAAUAUUAGAUUUAUCAUGUGAUGUAUGAACAUUGUAUGUUUGUUAAUUAUGUCAAAAUUAGGAUUCAAA
Molecule: long non-coding RNA, 214 nt
Filed under: Cicer arietinum (chickpea)
Lineage: Eukaryota; Viridiplantae; Streptophyta; Magnoliopsida; Fabales; Fabaceae
Description: long non-coding RNA (CARI_LNC003370)
Source: RNAcentral